CCCUUAGAUGUCCUGGGCCGCACGCGCGUUACACUGAUGCAUUCAACGAGCUUAUAACCUUGGCCGAGAGGCCUGGGCAAUCUUGUUAACGUGCAUCGUGAUAGGGAUAGAUUAUUGAAAUUAUUAAUCUUGAACGAGGAAUUCCUAGUAAACGCAGAUCAUCAAUCUGCAUUGAUUACGUCCCUGCCCUUUGUACACACCGCCCGUCGCACCUACCGAUUGGAUGGUCCGGUGAAGCCUCGGGAUUGUGGUUCUUGCCGCUUUAGUGUGGCGUGACCGCGAGAACUUGUCUAAACCUUAUCAUCUAGAGGAAGGUGAAGUCGUAACA
RNAcentral lists this ribosomal RNA (328 nucleotides) under uncultured eukaryote. RNAcentral's name for it is "partial 18S ribosomal RNA". It matches the Rfam family "Eukaryotic small subunit ribosomal RNA", at positions 1470 to 1796 of the family's 1831-position model. The record is from RNAcentral.